Oreochromis niloticus (Nile tilapia) is the source of this 2583-nucleotide long non-coding RNA. RefSeq lists it as uncharacterized. The transcript has 4 exons. NCBI's taxonomy places the organism in Eukaryota, Metazoa, Chordata, Actinopteri, Cichliformes, Cichlidae. The record is from RefSeq and is a predicted model, not a curated record.
GGCAAGGUUAGAGAGUUUAUUUGUUUAAUUCCAGCUAGUUUUAAAACGAACGUUUGAUCUGAAAGUGUCGCCUUAGUAGGGAUAUGGACGAUAGUCGUUACUAACAAAAGGUGCGCCUCCGGGAGUGGUGGAUCCUGAGGACGGUCCGCCAGGAUUGGAUGCUGCCCUGGAGGGAAACCAAGAUGGCGAGUGAUGUGUGCAGCCAUGUAAAGGUUGUUGUUCGAGUGAGGCCGGCCAAUGACAGUGAAAAGCGCAAAAACUGUCGGAAUGUGGUCCAGGUCGUCGAUAACCACAUGCUCAUAUUUGACCCCAAAGAAGAGGACUCGUCGUGCUUUGGGUCACAAAGAGUACGAAACACAAAGAUCAAUAAGAAGGCUAACAAAGACGAGACGAGAACGCUACACAAGUCGACAUUUUUGAGAACACCACUAAAGGAGUGCUGGAUGGGGUGAUGAAUGGAUUCAACUGUACAGGUGACAAAUUAAUGAGUACAAGCUGCAGCUACAGUCUGUCUGAAUUAGUCAUGAUGUCUGCCAAUUAUAAAAAGAUGCAGAGCUGAUUAACUUGUUCUGUAGUGUGCUAGUUAUUUAUCUGUCUGCAGCAACAAAUUACCCUCACUGCUGUGAAGGGGAUAGACCUUCAAAGAUACGAUUUUAUUCCAGGGCUGGAUAAAUGGAGUGCAGAGUCUUAUUCUUUACCAUAUAUUUUGGUGCAAUUGACUAAGCCAAAAAAAAGAAAGAAAGAAAGAAAGAAUUGUAUUUAUUUCUCUAAUGUUGUCACGGUCGGACGGUACUUUCCGGACGACCUUGCUUGUGUUUAUGUUUUCUGUGUGUGUUUGCUUCUCCCUCUCUCUCUCCCCGGUCCUCGGGGCUGUUUACGGAAGUGCGCGCCGUGGGAGAGGCGUGUCCUGCCGACUGUCGUCAUUGGGAGUCCCUCUUCGCUGUUGCCAGCCCAGCUGCAGCUGAUUACCUGAUUACCAGCUGUUGGUAAUCAUCCCUCCCGGCUAGAAAGAGGUACUUAACCUGGACUCGCGGCGACAGUCGACGUGGCAUUAUUACUCCGAACUGGAGGGGCGAGCGGAGAAGCAAGUUGGGGAGCACACACGCUAAGGGAGUUACAACACGGAACGCACUGGGAGCAAGGGAUGAGCACGAUUGGAAAGUUGCACUUUUGAGUGAAUUGUUGGACUUGCCUCUCUGUUUCACUGCACAUAAACGCACUGUGUUUCUGUGAAGAAGAACCGCGCCUGGGUCCCUCUUUUCCGUGACAAAUGUGAAUUUAAAGCUUGAGAAAGUAUUACUUUGUAUAGUUCUACUUUAGCCAGACUCUUAUAAAUGCAGUACUGUGCAUAAGUCUUAAACCACUUCUCAUUCCCUUAUGCUUUGCUAAUAUAAUGGGAAAUAUGUGCAGUGAUUUAUGGAAACAUCUGUAAAAAUUUAUAAAAAACAGUAUACCAAGUAAAAGUGGUCUUCAGGAAUAGUUCUCCAGGCUUCUCAAAACACAUUUGGAUGUUGGUAGAUUAAUCCCCGUCAAGGGGAUCCUACACUGCUUUAAUAAUGUUGAGGUCCAGACUCUGGGGAGGCCAAUCCAUGACUGAUCGUGUUCCAUCGUGUGUUUUUUUUAGAUCCAGGUAUACUUUUACUGAAUUGACUGUAGGCUUGAGAUUAUUGUAAUGCUGAAAAAUGAAGCUGUUGCCAAUGGAAUGCUUUCCACAGUUUUCAUCAUCCCUGCAGAAAAACAGCUGCUGACUCAUCGUUUCACUUCUCCGCUCCCUAUAGUUGUCUCAGUCUCUCAUUUACGCCACUACGGGAAAGGGUCACUGCUCAUCAGUCCCUGGCUCUUUUCUGUCGUGUGUGUGUCCCAGUGUUAGUCUCAGCUGUGAUAGCAUUUAAAAUAGAAAAGAAAAUUCUUAAGAAAUGUUUAGUACCACACCUGUGUACUUGACUAUGUGCGUAUGUUUUCAGUCUUUUAUUUUAUUCAAAUUGUUGACCCAACUCGUUUCCGACAUUGGGUCAAAACCAGAAAACCCCCAAAAAGCAGCUUGUUCGCAGCUGUAAUUAUUCACUGUAAUACAACAACCAAUCAACUGUUAAUCCAAAAUCUAAGAAACAAAAAGCUUGUUGGAAAAAUAAGGUUUGUAAAUCAAUUUAUUAGUUAAAAUAAAAACAUUUCUAAUCAAAAAUUUAUAAAGCUGAAAAGAUCUUAUGGUUCUGUUUGAAAAGGGAGGCACCCAACAGAAUAUGUUCACUUUGUUAACAUGCCUUUUAAUUCAAACUGCAAAGCAUUUUCUGUGUUUGAAAAAGUUCUAUGUAAAUAAAGUUAUUAUUAUUAGUAGUAGUAGUAUAAUGCUAUUAUUCAGUUAUCCUAUCUUCGUUUUUAUUUGUUUAAAAUUUAUUUUUGUACUCCUGCAACUCAAAAAUUAGACUUUUAGGGCAUUUUUUGUUUGAUUUCUUGAUCUAUGUGUGGGAAGAUGGUUAAGCAUUGGUCUUAAAUGCUUUAUCUAUUGUAGAUCAUUUGUAUUUGGACCCAUUAGUGGAUACAGAUCUUGAACCCUGCUUCGUUAUUUACCUAUUGCUCUAAAAG